UAGGAUGUUGGAAGUCAACG
RNAcentral lists this unclassified non-coding RNA (20 nucleotides) under Chlamydomonas reinhardtii. RNAcentral's name for it is "small RNA Cre_2315". The record is from RNAcentral. Lineage: Eukaryota; Viridiplantae; Chlorophyta; Chlorophyceae; Chlamydomonadales; Chlamydomonadaceae.